AGGAUUAUAGUUUAAAUAAAACAUUUGAUUUGCAUUCAAAAUAUAUUGUUAUAUUAACAAUUUAUCUU
RNAcentral lists this transfer RNA (68 nucleotides) under Pseudeustrotia carneola. RNAcentral describes it as "tRNA-Ala". Lineage: Eukaryota; Metazoa; Arthropoda; Insecta; Lepidoptera; Noctuidae. The record is from RNAcentral.